CCUACGGGAGGCAGCAGUGGGGAAUAUUGCACAAUGGGGGAAACCCUGAUGCAGCGACGCCGCGUGAGUGAAGAAGUAUUUCGGUAUGUAAAGCUCUAUCAGCGGGGAAGAAGAAAGCCGGUACCUGACUAAGAAGCCCCGGCUAACUACGUGCCAGCACCCGCGGUAAUACGUAGGGGGCAAGCGUUAUCCGGAUUAAUUGGGUUUAAGGGGUGCGCAGGCGGAUUUUUAAGUCAGCGGUCAAAUCGUGGGGCUAAACCCCAUCCAGCCGUUGAAACUGGGGAUCUAGAGUGUACGAGAGGUAUGCGGAAUGCGUGGUGUAGCGGUGAAAUGCAUAGAUAUCACGCAGAACCCCGGUUGCGAAGGCAGCAUACCGGUGCUCAACUGACGCUCAGGCACGAAAGCGUGGGUAUCGAACAGGAUUAGAUACCCUUGUAGUC
This 440-nucleotide ribosomal RNA is filed under the name uncultured bacterium. RNAcentral describes it as "partial 16S ribosomal RNA". It matches the Rfam family "Bacterial small subunit ribosomal RNA", at positions 338 to 795 of the family's 1533-position model. The record is from RNAcentral.